Long non-coding RNA from Equus caballus (horse), 1674 nucleotides. The record is from Ensembl. Lineage: Eukaryota; Metazoa; Chordata; Mammalia; Perissodactyla; Equidae.
AAUUCAGAAAUGCAUUCUUUAAUUUCCAGAUACUUGAGGCAUUCCCAAAUUGCUUUCUUUUAUUGAUUUCUAAUUUAAUUGCAUUCUGAUCAGAGAAUAUAUUCUGUGUGAUUUAAAUUUCCUUAACUUUUUUGAGUCUUGUUUUAUGGCCUAGCUUAAGGUCUAUCUGGAGAACGCUCCGUGUACUUUCGAAGACAAUGUGUUCUAUUGUUAGGGAGAGGUAUUCUAUAGAUGUCAGAUAUGUCAAGUUGGUUGAUGCUAAUGUUCUGGUCUUCUGUAUCCUUGCUUAUUUUCUGUCUAGUUGUUUUCUGAAUUAGUGGAGUAUUGAAGUCUCCAACUAUCAUGAUUGAAUAAUCUUUUUCUCUUUAAUUCUGUCAGCUUUUUCAUGUAUUUUGGAGCUCAGUUAGUAGGAACAUAUACGUUUAUAAUUAUUUCUUUCUUAAAACCAUUAUGAAAUGUCCCGCUUUGUCUCUAGCAAUAGUUUUUGGUCUUAUAAUCUAUUUUGACUGAUAGUAUAACCACUCCAGCUCUCUUCUAGUCACUUUUUCCAUCCUUUUACUUUCAGUCUAUUUGCGUCUUUCAAUCCAAAGUGUAUUUCCCCUAGAAAGCAUAGACCUGGAUCUGAUUAUCUAGUCUGUUAAUCUCUGCCUUUUGACUGAAGUGCUUAAUCCAUUUACAUUUAACCUAACAUCGAUAAGGUUUGAUUUAUGCUUGCCAUUUCUCUACUUUAUGUCCUGGGCUUUUUUGUUCUUUUUCUUUUAUUGCCCUCUUUCAUGUUAAAUAGAUAUUUUCUAGUAUACUCUCUUAAUUUCUUCGUUUUUUGUUUUGUUUUUACUGUACUUUUUUUGUUAUUUUCUUCUUGGUUGCUCUAAGGAUUUUUUUUUCUUUUUUGCAGGAAAGGAUUCACCCCGAGCUGACAUCUGUUGCCAGUCUGCCUCUUUUUCUUCUCCUUCUCCCCAAAGCCUGAGUGCAUGAUCCUGGUUGUAAGUCCAUCUAGUUCUUCUAUGUGAGCUGCCACCACAGCAUCACAACUGACAGACGGGGUGGUGUGCACACAACUUUAAUCACCAGACCAUCAGGGCCGGCUCUAAGGAUUAUAAUAGGAAUCUUCACUUAUUACAGUCUACUUCAGAUUAAUACUUAUUAAAUCCAGCAAAAUAUAGAAACUUCACUGCAGUGGAGCUUCAUUUCCUUACCCUCUGUGUUAGUGUCAUACGUAUUACAUCUUUAUAUGUUAUAAACCAAAAUAGUUUUAGAAAUGUUGUUUUAAGCAAUUGUCUGUCUUUGUUUUUUAAGAUUGGCAUCUGAGCUAACAUCUGCUGCCCAUCUUUUUUUUCUUCUUCUUCUUCUCCCCAAAGCCCCCCAGUACACAGCUGUACAUUCUAAUUGUAGGCCCUUCUGGCUCUGCUAUGUGGGACAACGCCUCAGCAUGGCUUGAUGAGUGAUGCUAGGUCCACGCCCAGGAUCUAAACCGGCAAAACCCCGGGCUGCCGAAGUGGAGCAGGCAAACUUAACCACUCAGCCAUGGGGCCAGACCCACAACUGUCUUUUAAGUUAGGUAAGAGAAAAAUGUUGCCAGUCUUUCAUGUUUACCCAUGUAAUUACUUCUUUCAAUGCUCUUUAUUUCUCGAUGUGGAUUUAAGUCAUCUUCUCAUGUCACUUAUGUUCAGCCCC